AUGCAUGGAAGAAAAUGUGGCGACUUCAAGUUCCUCCAAAGGUUAGGAAUUUCUGGUGGCGUAUUUGUUCAUGAUUUCAUUCCGUGCCGCGCGGUGCUGAAGCGAAGACAUGUGGAGGAAAUUGACUUCUGUGAAAGUUGUGGGCAGCCGGAAACUUCGAUGCAUGCAAUUUUUCAUUGUACUUGGGCUCGAAGUUUUUGGGACGAGAUUAAAAUUCUAACUGGCAUUAAAAUUCCCAAACUUCACCCGCAAUCGUGGACACUUGAUCUUGUUGAUGGAACCAAGGUUUCUCAAGCAGAUGCUUGCGUUAUUUGUUGUGGUGCGUGGGCAAUAUGGACUGAGCGAAAUACAAGAAGACAUGGGGAGGCUGGACGUACCAUAGCGCAAUUUGUCAAAUGGGUUACUGAUACAGUGAUGGAUUUGGUUAUGGCAGGAAAAGAAAACUUAGUUAAGGCGCCGAAGGUGAAAGCUAAAUGGUCACCACCUGAAAAUGGAGUGAUCAAGGUGAAUGUUGAUGCCUCCUUUGAUGAGAAUACCAAUCAAGGGUCUUCCGGGCUGGUGAUCCGUGAUAGUUUUGGCAAUCUUCUACGUGCACAAGCCCUUUGGUAUGAGUUUGCAGCAAGCUCGAUGGCAAUGGAAGCUGAGGCGAUUCGGGAUGGGGUGCAAGUGGCCCUGGAGAGAGGCUUCCGUAGAGUUGUCGUCGAGAGCGACGCUCAAGCAAUCAUAAAGCUGUGGGAGACAGAA
This 744-nucleotide ribosomal RNA is filed under the name Triticum aestivum (bread wheat). RNAcentral's name for it is "partial small subunit ribosomal RNA". Lineage: Eukaryota; Viridiplantae; Streptophyta; Magnoliopsida; Poales; Poaceae. The record is from RNAcentral.